This 172-nucleotide ribosomal RNA is filed under the name Bacillus licheniformis. RNAcentral describes it as "partial 16S ribosomal RNA". It matches the Rfam family "Bacterial small subunit ribosomal RNA", at positions 356 to 517 of the family's 1533-position model. Lineage: Bacteria; Bacillati; Bacillota; Bacilli; Caryophanales; Bacillaceae. The record is from RNAcentral.
GGGGGCUAUACACAUUGGACGAAGUCUGACGGAGCAACGCCGCGNUGAGUGAUGAAGGUUUUCGGGAUCGUAAAACUCUGGUUGUUAGGGAAGAACAAGUACCGGUUCGAAUAGGGCGGUACCUUGACGGUACCUAACCAGAAAGCCACGGCUAACUACGUGCCAGCAGCCG